Molecule: long non-coding RNA, 963 nt
Organism: Uranotaenia lowii
Lineage: Eukaryota; Metazoa; Arthropoda; Insecta; Diptera; Culicidae
Exons: 3
Source: RefSeq, a predicted model, not a curated record
GUGUGGCUCCGCCACAAAAUCAAGCAAUCCCUGUCCUUUACGGAAAAACAACAAAUUUCACCCAAAAGAACGGCUAACUUCACCCAUCCCAACUGUCAUUCCGCACAGGCACUCUCUUUCUCUGAGUGAUCCAUAGGCGUCGGGCUCAACCAGGGUCGUCGCGGGGAAGUGUGGGCACCCAGAGAACGACGCACCAUGUAAUUUUGCAGGAUGUAUGGGCGUCGGCCAAAACUUGAGGUCUCGCGAAUAUCGGCACCGCUAAGCAUGUCCUUUCUGUCUGUGAUCUCGUUAGAGAAAAGAAGUGCGCGUCUUGUGUCGUUAAAAGUACAAAAUACAAAAACGCAUUAAAAAGAACGAUAAGUAGUACGGUGCAAAUAAUAAAAUGCGGAAAUAGUACGCUAAAGAAAUGUUAAAAGAACAAACUAUUGUGAACAUUGAACCGAACAAAUACACGCCACAAAGAAAAGGUAAAUUAUUGUAAAACAAAAACAAAACCAUUUGUAAGCCACGUGGACGAUUAUAUUUGCUGGUAUUAUAACCCUACUUGGCAGGUCCAAGAGGGCCUUUUCUUGUUUAUAUGCUUGUUCUCCAGCUACAUCAUCCCGUUAAAACGCACAGCGACACAAAUAACCCGAUCAAAAAGCAGACAGAAAGAUGCCAACAUCUUAACCUUACUCGCCACUUCAAGGUUACUGACGAAGUCCUCCCGGUGCAUGACAACAGGCCGGUAUUGUCAACAACAAGGAUCAGGCUCUUCCGGGACGCCGGAAAGAGCUCUGUCAAGGACUACUCUCGUCGUUUGCAACAACAACAACAACAACAUCGAUCGAUGGAAAUCCAUCGAAAUAUCGUUCGUCGGUUCCGCUGCAAAGGGCAGCUUCAAGCAAAGCGCUGUGAGAAAAAUUCUAACCGCAAGUAUACUCUAAGAAAAUUGUGACGUCACUAUCAAAAGUUGUAAAAAUA